CUCAGUCUGAAAAAAGCAAGCAAGAUUGAGUGCCGGCGUGGGGAUGAGCAAGCGGGAAGUUUCACAGGAAGGGAACAUGCGUACGUAUCCUAUUUGCUUCUCCGGUUGAAGUCUACAUGUGUAUUAGGACACCAAAAACAAAAAUGCCUUUACUCAGGUAAAAGACAUCAUUGCUAUGUCAUGACUUUUGUCAUUAUUUGAGUGCAGGGCUUUUUCUUUCUUUCUUUAAGAGAGAGCUAAGCCAACAAUGAAGCCCUAAAUGAGUGUUUUUCAGGGGAAAAAAGAGGUACGUCAACAUCUGGUGAUCGUCUACUUCUCCAGAGCAACAGACAAGAAAAACUCAAUUGUGCUCUCUGCUGUCUGUAUUGUGCUAGUGCGCUCGAUUAGGUCAACAAAGCGUCCGUCCGUCCGUCGAUAAAGGAUAGCUCACCCGUGCAUUGAAUCCGUCUUGUGCUCUUCUAUCGGCUCAGGCUUUUUCCCCAUCUCCUUUUUCAAAGUGCCAAUUUCCAAAGCAAAGGAUUCAAUCAACUACAAAAGAAAUGCAAAUACUGUAUUUCCUUUCCCAGUUUGAGCUGUCAAUGAACAUUUCGGGUGCUGUACUGAUGUCAUCAUUUCUUUCAUUUCCUUCUUGCGCACUGCACUCUCUCUGUCGGGCGGGCUACCGAUCAUCAACAUGAGUCGCAAAAAGAUAAGCUCAGCAGUGGGAAAUCCCAAAUCGAAAAGCCAGAACUACACAAGGUUUACCGAGAGGCCAGAUCUGGAUUUGCUGAAGAAAUAUAUUUAAACGACAACACCAGUCAAACUCCAGAAAAACAUUUGAGUGGAGCGACACACUGAAGUCAAUAUUUCCUGUUUUCUACAGGAAAAACAGGCAAGAAGCUAGCUAGACUCCAACUCACUUCCCUUUUGAAAAACAGUAGCGAUGCUUUGACAUACAUGUCCGUACCUUGAAAAAACUGCUUUUCCUCUCCCGUUUGGAGGGCUGCUGGAUGUUAUGAGUGGACAUCUUGGACAGCUCCCUGGAAAGGCAAAUUCAAGCAGAACAAUUAUCAUCAUUAAAGCCACGGAAACGAGCUACAGUAUUUGUAGGCGACACGCUGAACUCAUUUCCAAGGGUGUGCUGGAGCCUAUCCCAGCUAUCAUCGGGCACCCUGAACUUUUUGCAGCAUUUUGGGAGUUCAGGUGCCCAAAUGUGUCUUUCCAUUUCUAUGAGCCAUAUGUGAGUCAGUGUCCAGGCCGGAAAACCAGGAAGUCCAAGGAAUAUAAAACUUUGCCAGCACGUGUUCAUUUAUAUUGCCAGUCACAGUCAAGUUUCUUGUCAGAUUAACGGAAUGCCAUCAAGAUAUGACUGAGUGGCAGAAAUCAGCCAAAGCCUCAAA
Long non-coding RNA from Syngnathus typhle (broad-nosed pipefish), 1379 nucleotides. RefSeq lists it as uncharacterized. The record is from RefSeq and is a predicted model, not a curated record. The transcript is spliced from 2 exons. NCBI's taxonomy places the organism in Eukaryota, Metazoa, Chordata, Actinopteri, Syngnathiformes, Syngnathidae.